CCUACGGGAGGCAGCAGUGGGGAAUCUUGCACAAUGGAGGAAACUCUGAUGCAGCGAUGCCGCGUGAGUGAAGAAGGCCUUUGGGUUGUAAAGCUCUUUUGUAGGGGAAGAUAAUGACUGUACCCUAAGAAUAAGGUCCGGCUAACUUCGUGCCAGCAGCCGCGGUAAUACGAAGGGACCUAGCGUAGUUCGGAAUUACUGGGCGUAAAGCGCGCGUAGGCCGUUGAGUUAGUUAAUUGUGAAAUCCCAAAGCUUAACUUUGGAACUGCAAUUAAAACUGCUCGGCUAGAGUUUGAUAGAGGAAAGCGGAAUACAUAGUGUAGAGGUGAAAUUCGUAGAUAUUAUGUAGAACACCAGUUGCGAAGGCGGCUUUCUGGAUCAACACUGACGCUGAGGCGCGAAAGUAUGGGUAGCAAAGAGGAUUAGAUACCCUCGUAGUCCAUACCAUAAACGAUANAUNUNUANAUGUAGUAAUUAUUUAUAUAUCNCANCUACGACAUAAGUACAUACCGCCGUCGGGAGGUACGACCGACCGAACGGUUAAAACGUAACGAAAGAAGUAAGUAGUACGUUGUUAGUAGAGUUCGACGACGACGACGACGGAGGGAGGAG
This 612-nucleotide ribosomal RNA is filed under the name uncultured bacterium. RNAcentral describes it as "bacterial SSU rRNA". The stretch from base 1 to 514 matches the Rfam family "Bacterial small subunit ribosomal RNA", at positions 338 to 873 of the family's 1533-position model. The record is from RNAcentral.